This 345-nucleotide transfer-messenger RNA is filed under the name Deltaproteobacteria bacterium TMED58. It matches the Rfam family "transfer-messenger RNA". Rfam says of the family: Bacterial tmRNA, also known as 10Sa RNA or SsrA, is named for its dual tRNA and mRNA-like properties. Its role is to liberate the mRNA from a stalled ribosome. To accomplish this part of the tmRNA is used as a reading frame that ends in a translation stop signal. The record is from RNAcentral. Lineage: Bacteria; Deltaproteobacteria. RNAcentral also lists the same sequence under 2 other names.
GGGGGCGAUUUGGUUUCGACGUAAAUUGAGCAUUUAGAUGCUGCAUGCCGAGAGCUAACUCGUUAAACUGGCACUCGCACAAUAAGUGCAGAACCAAUCAAUCAACUUGCUGCCUAAAAUAGAGUAGCAACAUUGGAAAUAACUUUGCCUAUAGGGUUUUUUUCAAUGUCAUUUAUAUAGGCCUGAUAAAAAUGUUUUCUCUGACUUUUUAUUAGUAUUUAAGAGAAUCGAAGUAUCUUUUGUUUUUUAGCCACAGGGGAUAUUUUUAAAUUAAAGCUAAAAUAAGCAUGUAGAGGCUCUAUUUAGCUGAUUUCCGGACCUGGGUUCGAUUCCCAGCGCCUCCAA